This 1201-nucleotide long non-coding RNA is filed under the name Equus asinus (donkey). RNAcentral describes it as "lncRNA (ENSEASG00005029676.1)". Lineage: Eukaryota; Metazoa; Chordata; Mammalia; Perissodactyla; Equidae. The record is from RNAcentral.
ACUGAUGCGAAGUGGCUCAGCUGGAAAGGGUAAAUGGUGAUGACAGCAAGACUGCAUAAAGCAGAAGAUGAGGGGGAAAACCGGCUCAGCCGUGACUUGGGGCAUCCACAGAUCGAACUAUUGAGGAAUCUAGACAGAGGGCAGCACUCAGGAGCCCGGCUGUGGGAGUUGAUCCCAGGAGAGCUUUCAAAUGUGGGAAGUGUGAGAGCUGCCAAAGCUUCUGACAUACUUUGUUCUGAUCAGCUCGUGAACUGGAACGAGUCCAAGCCUGCAGCUGGACCCACGACUACAUCAGAUGCUGAGAGCAGAGGAGAAAGCAAAGGAGGUGAGGCCAGGCUGAUAGCUGACACCUUUGAUCAAGACAUAUGUCCCCAGUUAGACUUACCCAGUGCCGAGGGGCACUAAACAGAAACCCAACUUACUGGCCUCUAACCCUUCCUUCGUCUUCCUGGACAGUGAUGGCCUUGGAGGACACUUGAUAGACUUACCUGGAAGAAUCUCACCUCUGACAGUUUCAAUGGAACAUUUGUCAGAAAGGCUAAUGGGCUUCUUUUCACAAUUUAAGGGUCUUAUUGAACACUAUUAACUAAUGAUCUGCGAGACAUUGCCCUAAGAAAACCGUUGCAAAUAGAAUUCACAACUGACAAUAAUUUGAAAAAUGGUCUCUCACUGCCUCCAUCCUUCUACAGUUCACAGCCUCCCUCUACACAUUAGAAUCACCUGGGGAGCUUUAGAAAUCCUAGGAUCAAGGAUGCACCUCCGACCAAUUAUAUCAGAGCCUCUAGGGGUGAGACCCAGCAAUCAGUAAAUGUUAAGGCUUCCCAGGUGAUUCCGAUCUUUGGGAUAAGUAGUCCCAGAAAGCUGAGAGCAAUGUGGUCUCGUGGAGGCUUGAAAGAGAGACAGUAUUCUUAGUGUAAUUAAUCUCUAUUAUCUCUAACCUUCUCCUGGAUGCCGUUGUUCUGUUCAUUUAAUGAAAAAGGGAAGGAGUUGGCAGGAGCCAAGUCAUCUACUUGUUGCUACUUAAAGUACAAAUUAAAAAUUGGGUUUUGAAAGCAACAAAAUUAGAUACAAUACCCUGCCUACAAGUCAAAUCAUGAGCUCUUUCAUUCUUUCAACAAAUAUUUACUGAGCUCCACUAUGAAUUAAUGAUGUGCUGGUAUUGGAUAUACAGAGGUGAGUUAAAUAGAAGUCUCUGCCCUUG